UUUAACGGCCGCGGUACCCUAACCGUGCGAAGGUAGCAUAAUCACUUGUUCUUUAAAUGGGGACUCGUAUCAACGGCAUCACGAGGAUCCUACUGUCUCCCCCCUCUAAUCGGUGAAACUGAUCUCUCCGUGAAGAAGCGGAGAUGUACAUAUAAGACGAGAAGACCCCAUGGAGCUUUAAACCCAACAACACCCGCCCCCCUCCAAAUCCUAUUAUUUACCCGGUGAUUGUUUGUUUGGUUUUAGGUUGGGGUGACCGCGGAGUAUAAGAUAUCCUCCAUGAAAAAAAGCUAACUGCCCUUAUUAGAGAAAGACACUUCCAAAAAAUAAUAAAUUAAUUUUAAAUGAUCCGAUAUUCGAUCAACGAACCAAGUUACCCUGGGGAUAACAGCGCAAUCCGUCCCGAGAGCCCCUAUCGACAGGCGGGUUUACGACCUCGAUGUUGGAUCAGGGUAUCCUAGUGGUGCAGCAGCUACUAAAGGUUCGUUUGUUCAACGAUUAAAACCCU
RNAcentral lists this ribosomal RNA (508 nucleotides) under Boophis madagascariensis (Madagascar bright-eyed frog). Its description in RNAcentral is "partial 16S ribosomal RNA". It matches the Rfam family "Bacterial large subunit ribosomal RNA", at positions 1923 to 2597 of the family's 2925-position model. Lineage: Eukaryota; Metazoa; Chordata; Amphibia; Anura; Mantellidae. The record is from RNAcentral.